Macaca mulatta (Rhesus monkey) is the source of this 932-nucleotide non-coding RNA. The record is from RefSeq and is a predicted model, not a curated record. Lineage: Eukaryota; Metazoa; Chordata; Mammalia; Primates; Cercopithecidae.
ACCUGACCGCGGACACCCCUGCCGAGGGAGGGAGGCCUCGGGAUGACAGGCGCGCCGUCUCCCCUCACCUCUGCACACACUCCACCCAUCCACGACUCCACCCCAGAUCCCGCGCCGCUCCGAGGUCCCCACCCCUGGGACGAGGGGAAGCGGGACUAAAACGUCUACAGCCCCACCCGGCUCCCGCGGCUACCAGUGACCCAGAAGGUGCAACUGACCAAACGCAGCGACUCAACCGACUCUGCUCUCCCCAGACUCGCAGCUAUGGCAACUUGAACUAGCCGCCCAGCCACAGCGAGAGUACAAGACCCCGCUGCCGCCGCUUGGCCCUCUGGGAGUUGUAGUCCAUCUCGGCCUCACCAUCAAGGAGUUACCAAGGGAGAGGAUCCGGAAAAGGAACUACAAAUCCCAGGAUGACAUACAGCUGGCCUUCGGGUAACUUUCCCGGAAAAGAAGCCUGAUCCCUCGGCCGCGCCCUCUUGCCCUGCUGUAUUUUUUUUUUUAAAGGACGAGCCUCCUUUGUAGGAGGCAAACUCCAGAUAGAAAGUGAAUAAAAAUGCUUCCUUAACCUUGACUGUAAUUUUACUCCCUGGGGAACAAAAGGAGUCCCCGAGGACUACGCGUCCAGUAUAUUGUUCCAAAGACUCACAAAUUCUUAGAACCGGACGGGAACAGAGAAGAUUAUGUAGUCCAACCUGUUUGGCCUGGAAAGAAGAAGGGACUUGCCUAAGAUCCUAUGGCUCAUUCCCGGCACACCGAAAGUAGAUAUGAGGCUGUCAGCUCAUUACUGCUGCUACUUCAGUCUAGGUGUCAUCCCCUCACUCUAGAACAUAAAAGAAAUGUUUUCCACUCAGGGGAGUUGGUUUCAGUCACGAAGAGAAUGAAAACUUCAAUAAAAAAACUGAACUUUGGAAAAACUAAGAAGUAACAAA